This 777-nucleotide ribosomal RNA is filed under the name uncultured Neocallimastigales. RNAcentral describes it as "partial large subunit ribosomal RNA". It matches the Rfam family "Eukaryotic large subunit ribosomal RNA", at positions 22 to 646 of the family's 3401-position model. The record is from RNAcentral. Lineage: Eukaryota; Fungi; Neocallimastigomycota; Neocallimastigomycetes; Neocallimastigales.
CAUAGCGACUAUCGUGGCAUAUCAAUAAGCGGAGGAAAAGAAACUAACAAGGAUUCCCCUAGUAACGGCGAGUGAAGCGGGAAGAGCUCAAAUUUGAAAUCUUCAAGGGUUUCCCUUGACGAAUUGUAGUUUAAAGAAGUGUUUUCUGUUAGAGAGGUGGUAAAAGUUCUUUGGAAUAGGACAUCAUAGAGGGUGAGAAUCCCGUAUUUGAUCACUUUCUACUAACGUUGUGAUACACUUUCAAAGAGUCGGAUUGUUUGGGAAUGCAGUCCAAAAUGGGUGGUAAAUUUCAUCUAAAGCUAAAUAUCGGCGAGAGACCGAUAGCGAACAAGUACCGUGAGGGAAAGAUGAAAAGAACUUUGAAAAGAGAGUUAAACAGUACGUGAAAUUGUCAAAAGGGAAGCGUUUGACACCAGUGUUGUUUAGUUGAAAAUCAAUUCAAUAAUUUUUGAUUUUAAGUAGUAUUGACUUCAUCAGCUUGCUGCUUUCUUUUCUGAAAUUAUUUAAUGCACUUUUCAGUUAACAAGUCAACAUCAAUUUCUUUUGUUGUAAAAGGGUAAGAGGAAGGUGGCUUACGCUUCGGCGUAAGUGUUUAUAGCCUUUUACCUCUGCAAUCGGAGAGAUUGAGGACAGCAGCGUAGACUCCUUCGGGGGUUAGAUACACUUGUGCUAAGCUAUAGCCUUGUAUAGACAACUUGUUGACUAUGCUCAGUCAUGUAGCUUACUCGCUUAUGCUAUUUUACCUACGCUUAGGAUGUUGACGAGACUGUCGAUCUC